This 253-nucleotide ribosomal RNA is filed under the name uncultured bacterium. RNAcentral describes it as "partial 16S ribosomal RNA". It matches the Rfam family "Bacterial small subunit ribosomal RNA", at positions 524 to 776 of the family's 1533-position model. The record is from RNAcentral.
UACGUAAGUGGCGAGCGUUAUCCGGAAUUACUGGGCGUAAAGCGUGCGUAGGCGGUUUAGUGUGUGGGAUUUGAAAGCCCGGGGCUCAACUCCGGAUCCGGAUCCCAAACUGCUAGACUCGAGAGUAUCAGAGGAGAGCGGAAUUCCCGGUGUAGCGGUAAUAUGCGUAGAUAUCGGGAAGAACACCCGUGGCUAAGGCGGCUCUCUAGUACGGUACUGACGCUGAGACGCGAAAGCGUGGGGAGCGAACAGG